UUUGAUCCUGGCUCAGGAUGAACGCUGGCGGCAUGCCUAACACAUGCAAGUCAACGGGGUUUAUAUAACAGAACUCUCCGGAGGGAAGAUAUAUAAACCUAGUGGCGGACGGGUGAGUAACGCGUGGGCAACCUGCCCUGUACCGGGGGACAACAGCCAGAAAUGGCUGCUAAUACCGCAUAAGCCUGCGGUGCCGCAUGGCACAGCAGGGAAAACCACGGUGGUACAGGAUGGGCCCGCGUCUGAUUAGUUAGUUGGCAGGGUAACGGCCUACCAAGACGAUGAUCAGUAGCCGGCUUGAGAGAGUGGACGGCCACAUUGGGACUGAGACACGGCCCAGACUCCUGCGGGAGGCAGCAGUGGGGAAUAUUGCACAAUGGGGGAAACCCUGAUGCAGCAAUGCCGCGUGGGUGAAGAAGCACUCCGGUGCGUAAAGCCCUGUCAGCAGGGAAGAAAAUGACAGUACCUGACCAAGAAGCCCCGGCUAACUACGUG
Molecule: ribosomal RNA, 495 nt
Filed under: uncultured Lachnospiraceae bacterium
Lineage: Bacteria; Bacillati; Bacillota; Clostridia; Lachnospirales; Lachnospiraceae
Description: bacterial SSU rRNA
Rfam family: Bacterial small subunit ribosomal RNA
Source: RNAcentral